UAAAGACAGAUCUAAAACUAACGAAAAACAUUAGAUUUUUUCUAUUUAACUUAUUUAUGAAUUUUAAUCAAGAAAAACGUAAUAAUAAAUCGUUACAGUCGUCGUUUUUCUAUGAAAGUAACUGUAACUAAUUUGAUUAGAUGGAAAAAUAGCCUAUUCAAAUUGUUGCUCUAAUUUUAAUAGUGGUGUUUUCAACCGUUGACAAGUUGCUAUCCUAAAGCUGCAUGGAAGCGACUGGAGUGUCGGGGGACCUAGCCAAGAUGCAAUGGCUUCAAGUGAUUUCUUGCCUUGCAUUGAUUCUUGUAGAACUAUGUUCAAUCGUCCAUUCCGUGAAGUUGCUAUGAUGCCUAAACUCCAUAUUAUAUACAUGUAGGAAUGGUAGGCAGAAUGAAACGGAACGUUAAGGUGUGUGAAAGAGAGAGCGAUGAGUGAGCGAGAAAAACAGAGAGUGUUGCGGUAUGACAGAAAAAUGGCGGUUGUUUGUUUUCGAAGAUGUAAAACAGUAAAAUCCUGAAAAUAAACAAGUUGGUACAAAAAUGUAAUCGUGUCCAUACACGUCCGUAAUAUAGUAUUUUAUUAGAUAUAAAAGUAAAUACCAAAGUUUAUUAUUUACUUAAAGUUACACUUAAACAUUAAAUUAAAAAGACUCGUGUUAGAUAAUAGCACUUUCAGUUGAAAAUAUUUUGAAUUUUAAUUUUUACUGCGUUUGUUACACGUGUUCUGACGAAUAUAUAUAAACUCAUAUAUAAGCUAGUGUUAUUCAAUUGAUUCAUAGACAUAAUUGAAGUAGAACGUAGCAAUCAUGAAGUUGGUUAUAGCCGCCAUCUUGGUUCUGACUGUUGGGGUUCUGAGUACCCCGUUAUUCACUUCAAUUGAUGACCUAAGAACAUCGCUAAAGGCUACGGGAGAGCUCUUAGAUGAAGCAGGGUCAGACCCAAGAAUUAAUGUGCAAUGUAUCAAAACACUAGUGGAAGAUAUAACAGCCUGUAGCAAAGAGGCAGAUAAAUCGAAACUGGUGACGUGCAUUUGGAAAACUUUGCUGAAGUUCUUAGCAUGCUAACGAGAAGUUAUGGUAAAAGAACGUCAAAAUACAAAAUUACUUAUAAUUUGCCUGCAGAUGUAAAAAAAUAAA
This is a long non-coding RNA of Pectinophora gossypiella (pink bollworm), 1132 nucleotides long. RefSeq lists it as uncharacterized. Lineage: Eukaryota; Metazoa; Arthropoda; Insecta; Lepidoptera; Gelechiidae. The transcript has 2 exons. The record is from RefSeq and is a predicted model, not a curated record.